UGCCAACUCUUGAGUUGCACAGCAACAAACAUGGACGUGUCUCGCAAAAUAAAGACGAAAGUGUCCGCCGGCUUCAAGAUGCGGGGACUUAUACUACGGCCCAGGCUGUCCUCCACCACGGCCGUGUGUCCGCUCCUCUCCCGGGCCACCAGCUCCGAGCAGUGCCUCUCAAAAGCGGAAUCCAUGACUGGCUGCUUCAAAACAGACAACGAAGACGAGUCUUUGAGCCUAAAAUUAAACAAAUCUGUCUAAAAAUAUCAAAUCGAAAGCGUCAUUCGUUUCUACAUGUUGUUGCUGUGAGCUUAACAAAUAAAAUGAGUUAAAUCUCC
Molecule: long non-coding RNA, 329 nt
Organism: Labrus bergylta (ballan wrasse)
Lineage: Eukaryota; Metazoa; Chordata; Actinopteri; Labriformes; Labridae
Source: RefSeq, a predicted model, not a curated record